This 1462-nucleotide long non-coding RNA is filed under the name Gallus gallus (chicken). RNAcentral describes it as "lncRNA (ENSGALG00010026895.1)". Lineage: Eukaryota; Metazoa; Chordata; Aves; Galliformes; Phasianidae. The record is from RNAcentral.
UAAGCUUAUGCAUGGAACUGUCUUGCAUUUCAGUUCCCCGGGGAUAUCACUUAGGGAGCCUUGGCUCCACAGAUCAGAACGGUCCAUGCCCAGCUUCAGGAAACUGGCACAUCUAGUCGUUCAUCUGCCACCUGCUGAGGACAGGUUUAGGCAGGGGGAUCCCCCUCUUCAGCAGAGUAGUAUGUCUGACUGACUUACUACAGCUUUACUCAGAUCAGUGCACUGUAUGAAGUGAGGACAAGCCAGGCUUUGCUGACCCCUCACAUCACUGAACAACCUGUAGUUUUUGUCACCACGACUGUGAUGGAACCAGGAACCCACUUCAACUCUGACAUCCUGUACACCAGAGAAGCAGCAAGCAGUGUUGUUGCCCAGCUUUGCAGGUCCCUUACUUGCCCAGUUGAACAUGUAGCCACGUGGCAGGUCCCUUCUAGCACCACAGCCUCCAUGUGGAUCCCAGUAACAGAAGUUCCAGACAGACUGCGGUUGGCAGUCCUCAGUGCCCACCUGUUUCUGCACCCUGCAUAGAAGAAAGCCAAGCCCUGGAACAGAGCCAGGUCCUGGAGUAUCUAGCUGGUGACCCACGAAGCACUGACAUGUUCCAGGCAGUGUGGCUGCUCUCUCAAUUCUAAGUGGGGAACAAACGUGGCCUACCUGCAGAGAUGCUCAAUGUGGUCUGCACUUCUCCAGCAAAAACCUCAUUCUUUCCUGGUUUUCUUUAUAUUUUAAACGAAUGAGGAGUUUGAUGUGGAGAUGAGGAACAGAAAGAAUGGGGCAGAAGGAUGAGGGCCUUUUCAAAUAGUAAAGCUUACUAAAAUGAGCUCUGUAAUAAGAAUUUUGCAAGGGAUGUAAGAAACGGAAGGUACACGGUGGGUUGUAUGCUUUCACUGGAGCAGUCUGAAGCUUUUCUGAAGAUGUUAAAAAUACCAAGUUACUGAUUCUGUGGCAGUACCUGUAGUGCCUAUAGCACUGCUCAGGUCUCAGUCCUUCAUUGCAUUGUGAAGGCAUGCAAAACUCAACCGAAAAGGAGGACAACCUUUAUUUGCACACAGUGUUUUGAGCCCCACACAGAGUACGGUGGGCUGUGGCCCUGGGGCACCCAGUGUUCGCUCCCCUGGCUCUCCCUUGGGAUGCCAUUUUCUUAUAGGCUGCUUUGAAGUGCUGUGUGUGCCUUCACACCUUGUCACUUUUAACAAUGGAGCCUUGGGUGAACCGGCGCUGCUGUGCGGAGUGCAAAAGGCGGGAUGCGCUGUCCCUGUGCUGCUUUGCACCCUUUUCCCGCCCUUGUCUCCCAUCUCCAAGACGGCCCUCCUGCCCUGAACCGCCCAGCACCGCCGCUGAGGAGGGCCGCUCUUUCCGCUGCCCAGCGCCAUGGCGGCCGCGAGCCGCCUCCCCAUUGGCCGCCCGCCCCGGAGCGCCGGUAGCAACAGCGACAAAUAUAUCUCCCCGCCUCCUGAUUGGC